GCUUACGGCCAUACACCCUGAACGCGCCCGAUCUCGUCUGAUCUCGGAGCCAAGCAGGGUCGGGCUGGUCAGUACUUGGACGGGAGACCGCUGGGAAUACCAGGUGCUGUAAGCU
This 115-nucleotide ribosomal RNA is filed under the name Oreochromis niloticus (Nile tilapia). The record is from RNAcentral. Lineage: Eukaryota; Metazoa; Chordata; Actinopteri; Cichliformes; Cichlidae.